Molecule: unclassified non-coding RNA, 348 nt
Filed under: soil metagenome
Description: partial contains 5.8S ribosomal RNA, internal transcribed spacer 2, and large subunit ribosomal RNA
Rfam family: 5.8S ribosomal RNA (bases 1-120)
Source: RNAcentral
GAUGAAGAACGCAGUGAAAUGCGAUAAGUAAUGUGAAUUGCAGAAUCCAGUGAAUCAUCGAAUCUUUGAACGCACAUUGCGCCCGCCAGUAUUCUGGCGGGCAUGCCUGUCUGAGCGUCAUUUCAACCCUCAUGCCCCUAGGGCGUGGUGUUGGGGAUCGGCCAAAGCCCGCGAGGGACGGCCGGCCCCUAAAUCUAGUGGCGGACCCGUCGUGGCCUCCUCUGCGAAGUAGUGAUAUUCCGCAUCGGAGAGCGACGAGCCCCUGCCGUUAAACCCCCAACUUUCCAAGGUUGACCUCAGAUCAGGUAGGAAUACCCGCUGAACUUAAGCAUAUCAAUAAGCGGAGGA